RNAcentral lists this ribosomal RNA (468 nucleotides) under uncultured bacterium. Its description in RNAcentral is "partial 16S ribosomal RNA". It matches the Rfam family "Bacterial small subunit ribosomal RNA", at positions 28 to 507 of the family's 1533-position model. The record is from RNAcentral.
GACGAACGCUGGCGGCGUGCUUAACACAUGCAAGUCGAACGGAAAGGCCCUGCUUUUGUGGGGUGCUCGAGUGGCGAACGGGUGAGUAACACGUGAGUAACCUGCCCUCGACUUUGGGAUAACUUCAGGAAACUGGGGCUAAUACCGGAUAGGAGCUCCUGCUGCAUGGUGGGGGUUGGAAAGUUUCGGCGGUUGGGGAUGGACUCGCGGCUUAUCAGCUUGUUGGUGGGGUAGUGGCUUACCAAGGCUUUGACGGGUAGCCGGCCUGAGAGGGUGACCGGCCACAUUAGGACUGGGAUGAGACCCAGACUCCUACGGGAGGCAACAGUGGGGAAUAGUGCACAAUGGGCGGAAGCCUGAUGCAACAACGCCACGUGCGGGAUGACGGCCUUCGGGUUGUAAACCGCUUUCGCCUGUGACGAAGCGUGAGUGACGGUAAUGGGUAAAGAAGCACCGGCUAACUACGUG